GCGUGAUAGCAAGGGCCGUGCAGGAAACAAACAGGAUGUGGUAAGAGCAACCAGAAGGGCCACAGGAUUUAUUUUAGAAAGACCAUCAGGGUUUUCCUGAAACAAACUCUCAUCAUCUGAGAGAACCUGCAUGCACCUCUGCUCCCUGCACCCCAGAGGGAACCAGCAGUGUGCCCUGGGAAAAGCUGGGGCCCCACAGGUCCCAGUCUCUGAACAGGGUCUCGUAUAAAGAAGCACCGUCCAGCAACUAUUGCAGCAUUCACUGGCAUCUCGAAGACAGUAUCAACGAGUAUCUACAUCACAACCCGUAACCUCGCUCCUCAAGUUCCCUGUCCUCCCCUCCCAACCCCUGUACCCACAGCUGAUCGUGAGCCUCACACCCACCCACCUCCAGCAGUGCCAGAUUCACUCCUUACUUCCCCACUCUCUUCAUAUGGAGAGUGACAGCUUCCCUAGGUCGUAGAAGAAAACAACAUGGACCACUUGCCAGCGUCUCUUUGAACAGAGAAGCUACUGCUGUCUAAGAGCCACCAUCCCCAAUCCCAGGCACAGGGCUUGAGGGAAACUUAUUUUCUGCCCCCACCUUCCUUAAAGGUGGAACUCAUGACUGAGACCUGAGCCUAUCAGCCGGUCACGUGAUCCUGGCCCAGGGCUAUUGGCUGUGGGAAGUGGAUGCUGCCCGCCCUGUUGUCCUGUGGGAGCUUGAGGGGAUGUACAUCUGGCAUUGCUGGCAGGCAUUUUGUUCCCAUGAGGGAAGAGUCUGGGAGAGAAGCAACCUGGUGGAGAGUGGGCCUAAGACACGGAGAGAGGAUGUUGAUGCCGUGAGUUCCCAAUCCCGCCGCGCCCGUCAGACUUACCCUCAGC
This 864-nucleotide long non-coding RNA is filed under the name Homo sapiens (human). Its description in RNAcentral is "HSALNT0401989". The record is from RNAcentral. Lineage: Eukaryota; Metazoa; Chordata; Mammalia; Primates; Hominidae.